Phrynosoma platyrhinos (Desert horned lizard) is the source of this 72-nucleotide non-coding RNA. The record is from the annotation of a GenBank genome assembly. Lineage: Eukaryota; Metazoa; Chordata; Lepidosauria; Squamata; Phrynosomatidae.
GCCAGUGUAGUGUAGUGGUUUGAGCAUAGGACUACAGCUCUUGAGAUCAGGGUUCAAUUCCCCACUUUAUCA